UACGUAGGGUGCGAGCGUUAAUCGGAAUUACUGGGCGUAAAGCGUGCGCAGGCGGUUCGUUAUGUCCGAUGUGAAAGCCCCGGGCUCAACCCGGGAAGUGCAUUCGAAACUGGCGGGCUUGAAUAUGGAAGAGGGUCGCGGAAUUCCCGGUGUAGAGGUGAAAUUCGUAGAUAUCGGGAGGAACACCAGUUGGCGAAGGCGGCGACCUGGGCCAAUAUUGACGCUGAGGUGCGAAAGCGUGGGGAGCAAACAGG
Molecule: ribosomal RNA, 254 nt
Filed under: uncultured bacterium
Lineage: Bacteria
Description: partial 16S ribosomal RNA
Rfam family: Bacterial small subunit ribosomal RNA
Source: RNAcentral